AGAAAAGACCACAGCUUCGUAUCUUUCCAAGUUCCAGAUUCUGUCUUAAGCCAAAGUCACCGCCUUCAUUCUCUUGCAUUGGUUCACUCCAAAAGGAGCAUGAUCACGAAGGUUCUUGAUUUCAUCACCGUUGUAACACAGACUAGGGUUUCCCCAAACACCAAGUCUUCUUCCCAUCCUCUCAUAGAACUUCUUAGAGAACUCCAGCUCUCCACUGAUGCUAUUUCCAUUUACAUAGAGCGCGUUUAGACAAGGCAUUUCGGUUUCCAUUUGAGGAAAGAGUUUGCCUCCGAGACUGUUGUUGCUUAGACCUAAGAACCUCAGUUUCUUGAGCUCCAAGAUUGACCAUGGAAUCUCUCCUUUUAACCUUGUGUUGGAGAGAUCUAAAAGCACCAAAUUCUUCAGAUUUCUCCACUUUAUUCCUGUUAAGUCCCCUUCGAGAUGGUUAUUGGACAAAACAAGUUCAACCAAUGAACUCAUCUCUUGGAUCUCUUUCGUCAGUCCACCUGAGAAUCUGUUGUUCCCAAGAUCAAAAAGCGUCAGAUUCUUUAAGGACUGUAGCUCUAUAGGUACCUUUCCUUCCAAGUAAUUGUUACUAACAUCCAGUUUCAGCAGUGAACUCAAUCCUCCAACGCUUAAAGGCAACGGUCCAGAGAAGAAAUUCCUGCUUAGAUCCAAUAUAAAGGUUCACCUAGGGGUGAACCCAAGAAUAAGUGUUCGUGGAAUGCUCAAAACUAAACAAUUCGAGUGUAACUUCUUAUUAAAAUAAACCCAUCAAAUUUGAUCAUUUUGUGUUUGUUUUUGUUAUUACACUACAUUUGAUCGCCUUCUUGUUUGGUGACGCUGCAGAAAAAACAAUAAACGAUUUUUUUCCAAUUGGGGUUUCUUUCUUUUAUUUAUACGUACACAUGUUAUGUCUGAUACUUACUACUGCUAGUAACAAAAAUAGAAAAAAAUGCACACAAGAUAUAUUGGCAAAGUUGAAUAAAAUGCAUGGUUGAAAAGACCACAGCUUCGUAUCUUUCCAAGUUCCAGAUUCUGUCUUAAGCCAAAGUCACCGCCUUCAUUCUCUUGCAUUGGUUCACUCCAAAAGGAGCAUGAUCACGAAGGUUCUUGAUUUCAUCACCGUUGUAACACAGACUAGGGUUUCCCCAAACACCAAGUCUUCUUCCCAUCCUCUCAUAGAACUUCUUAGAGAACUCCAGCUCUCCACUGAUGUUAUUUCCAUUUAC
This 1232-nucleotide long non-coding RNA is filed under the name Brassica napus (rape). RNAcentral describes it as "long non-coding RNA (BNAP_LNC019148)". Lineage: Eukaryota; Viridiplantae; Streptophyta; Magnoliopsida; Brassicales; Brassicaceae. The record is from RNAcentral.